Molecule: ribosomal RNA, 497 nt
Filed under: uncultured bacterium
Lineage: Bacteria
Description: partial 16S ribosomal RNA
Rfam family: Bacterial small subunit ribosomal RNA
Source: RNAcentral
GAUGAACGCUGGCGGCGUGCCUAAUACAUGCAAGUCGAGCGAACGGACGAGAAGCUUGCUUCUCUGAUGCUAGCGGCGGACGGGUGAGUAACACGUGGAUAACCUACCUAUAAGACUGGGAUAACUUCGGGAAACCGGAGCUAAUACCGGAUAAUAUAUUGAACCGCAUGGUUCAAUAGUGAAAGACGGUUUUGCUGUCACUUAUAGAUGGAUCCGCGCUGCAUUAGCUAGUUGGUAAGGUAACGGCUUACCAAGGCAACGAUGCAUAGCCGACCUGAGAGGGUGAUCGGCCACACUGGAACUGAGACACGGUCCAGACUCCUACGGGAGGCAGCAGUAGGGAAUCUUCCGCAAUGGGCGAAAGCCUGACGGAGCAACGCCGCGUGAGUGAUGAAGGUCUUCGGAUCGUAAAACUCUGUUAUUAGGGAAGAACAAAUGUGUAAGUAACUAUGCACAUCUUGACGGUACCUAAUCAGAAAGCCACGGCUAACUACGUG